AGCGAACGCUGGCGGCAGGCCUAACACAUGCAAGUCGAACGAACCUUUCGGGGUUAGUGGCGGACGGGUGAGUAACACGUGGGAACGUGCCUUUAGGUUCGGAAUAACUCAGGGAAACUUGUGCUAAUACCGAAUGUGCCCUUCUGGGGAAAGAUUAAUCGCCUUUAGAGCGGCCCGCGUCUGAUUAGCUAGUUGGUUGAGGUAAUGGCUCACCAAGGCGACGAUCAGUAGCUGGUCUGAGAGGAUGAUCAGCCACAUUGGGACUGAGACACGGCCCAAACUCCUACGCGAGGCAGCAGUGGGGAAUCUUGCGCAAUGGGCGAAAGCAUGACGCAGCCAUGCCGCGUGAAUGAUGAAGGUCUUAGGAUUGUAAAAUUCUUUCACCGGGGAAGAUAAUGACGGUACCCGGAGAAGAAGCCCCGGCUAACUUCGUG
This 434-nucleotide ribosomal RNA is filed under the name uncultured bacterium. RNAcentral describes it as "partial 16S ribosomal RNA". It matches the Rfam family "Bacterial small subunit ribosomal RNA", at positions 29 to 507 of the family's 1533-position model. The record is from RNAcentral.